RNAcentral lists this ribosomal RNA (498 nucleotides) under uncultured bacterium. Its description in RNAcentral is "partial 16S ribosomal RNA". It matches the Rfam family "Bacterial small subunit ribosomal RNA", at positions 28 to 523 of the family's 1533-position model. The record is from RNAcentral.
GAUGAACGCUAGCUACAGGCUUAACACAUGCAAGUCGAGGGGUAGCAGGGUAGCAAUACCGCUGACGACCGGCGCACGGGUGAGUAACACGUAUCCAACCUUCCCAUAACUCAGGGAUAGCCUUUCGAAAGAAAGAUUAAUACCUGAUAGUACUUAAGAAAGGCAUCUUUUUUAAGUUAAAGAUUUAUUGGUUAUGGAUGGGGAUGCGUUCCAUUAGAUAGUUGGUGAGGUAACGGCUCACCAAGUCUUCGAUGGAUAGGGGUUCUGAGAGGAAGGUCCCCCACAUUGGUACUGAGACACGGACCAAACUCCUACGGGAGGCAGCAGUGAGGAAUAUUGGUCAAUGGGCGAGAGCCUGAACCAGCCAAGUAGCGUGAAGGAUGAAGGUCCUAUGGAUUGUAAACUUCUUUUAUAGUAGAAUAAAGUGAGCCACGUGUGGUUUUUUGUAUGUAUACUAUGAAUAAGGAUCGGCUAACUCCGAGCCAGCCGCCGCGGUAA